GCGGGAGCUGCAGGAGCGCAUGCAGAGCAGGGUGGGCCAGCGGGGCAGUGGGCUGUCCAUGUCGGCCGCCCGCAGCGAGCACGAGGUGUCGGAGAUCAUCGAUGGCCUCUCAGAGCAGGAGGUGAGUCCAGGCCCUGACUCUGGCCUCAGCUCCUUUUCCCUGGCAUCCCCCGUGAGGGUGCAGAGGCCCUAGCCAGAAAGCACCUCCUGGGUAGUUUACGUCGAGGGGCUUUGCCACCAAAGCAUGGGUGGAAUCAAGGUGGGUAUCGAGGUACCCAGGACUAGCAGCCUCAGGAAGCUGCGGCCCGUCCCAGGCCUGCAGGGGCAAGUGGAGAGAGGGGUGUUAACGCGUCUGAGAGGGAGGGUGGC
RNAcentral lists this small RNA (369 nucleotides) under Pongo abelii (Sumatran orangutan). Its description in RNAcentral is "retained intron". The record is from RNAcentral. Lineage: Eukaryota; Metazoa; Chordata; Mammalia; Primates; Hominidae.